RNAcentral lists this ribosomal RNA (459 nucleotides) under uncultured bacterium. RNAcentral describes it as "partial 16S ribosomal RNA". It matches the Rfam family "Bacterial small subunit ribosomal RNA", at positions 339 to 795 of the family's 1533-position model. The record is from RNAcentral.
CUACGGGAGGCACCAGUGAGGAAUAUUGGACAAUGGAGGCAACUCUGAUCCAGCCAUGCCGCGUGCAGGAAGACGGCCCUAUGGGUUGUAAACUGCUUUUAUACGGGAAGAAACCCAACUACGUGUAGUUGGCUGACGGUACCGUAAGAAUAAGCACCGGCUAACUCCGUGCCAGCAGCCGCGGUAAUACGGAGGGUGCAAGCGUUAUCCGGAAUCAUUGGGUUUAAAGGGUCCGUAGGCGGACUGAUAAGUCAGGGGUGAAAUCCAACAGCUUAACUGUUGAACUGCCUUUGAUACUGUUAGUCUUGAAUUAUAUGGAAGUAGAUAGAAUGUGUAGUGUAGCGUUGAAAUGCUUAGAGAUUACACAGAAUACCGAUUGCGAAGGCAGUCUACUACGUAUAUAUUGACGCUAAUGGACGAGAGCGUGGGGAGCGAACAGGAUUAGAUACCCUUGUAGUC